UCCACGUGUCCACUUCAAUCCCUAAGUAGGACAGGACUCCCACCGGACCCACCGUCUUCUCAGCUGCUAUCGGCACACCAAAAUCCGCAGCGACGGCCCGAAAGGAAUCCAAGAGCCCCACGCAGUCAUCCGACUCCCGCGGGCCCACAAACAAAAAAUCGUCAAGGUAAUGAGUUAGGGACUCUAUCCCCGCAACCUGAGCGACCACCCAUUCCAAAAACGAUGCAAACAUUUCAAAGUAAGAACAAGAUAUAGCGCAGCCCAUAGGCAAACACAUAUCAAAGAAAAAGGAACCUUGAAACCGACAACCCAACAGGUGAAAACAAUCCGGGUGGACCGGGAGCAGGCGAAAAGCCGACUCGAUGUCCGACUUCGCCAACAGAGCUCCCUUCCCUGCCUCCCGGACCAACUCUAAUGCCCGAUCAAACGAGGCGUAACGAACAUGUGAUUCUUCCUUGUCAAUGUCAUCAUUCACCGACCCACCCGAGGGAUAGGACAAGUGGUGAAUGAGACGGAAGGAUCCAGGCUCUUUCUUAGGAACUAACCCCAGCGGGGAUACCCGCAAAUUGGGAAAUGGAGGCGAGUCAAACGGACCCGCCAUCCUGCCCAAACAAACUUCCUUCCUCAACUUAUCCUCUAAGAUAGACUCUUUACCCACCACCGAACGCAGGUUAUCUGCCAGGGAAGGGGAAUCCGAACGAACAAACGGAAUCCAAAACCCUGUCGAAAACCCCUCUAGCAGAACCCCUGCAUCCUUACGCUUGGGAUACCGGUCGAGCCAAGGGCGCAUCCUUAGCACGCUCACCGGAGUCCUCCCCUCUAGGGAGAUCCUCCCUAUUGGAUCUUCCACCAUGCUUGCCCUUCUUGAAACAGCGCAGCGCAGGGUGGG
Pelobates cultripes (western spadefoot toad) is the source of this 889-nucleotide non-coding RNA. The record is from the annotation of a GenBank genome assembly. Lineage: Eukaryota; Metazoa; Chordata; Amphibia; Anura; Pelobatidae.